AUGGACGGGGGUAGCAGCAUCAAUAUCCUCUAUUAUGAGACCUUUCAAUGCAUGGGGUUAACUGAUAAGAAUUUGAAGACGUCCAGCACUAUUUUUUAUGGAGUGGUCCCUGGUAAGUCGGCGUACCCAGUUGGCAAGAUUGAACUGGAGGUGGCUUUUGGAGAUAAGUAUGACUCCAAAGCUGAAAUAUUAACCUUUGAGGUGGUCAAAAUCAGGAGUCCAUAUCAUGCUCUGUUUGGACGGCCGGCUUAUGCCAAGUUUAUGGCACGACCAUGCUAUGUUUACCUGCAGCUGAAGAUGCCAGGUCACAAGGGUACCAUCACCGUGCACGGAAGUCGAAAGGUAGCCCUGGAAUGUGAGGAGGGCGACGCGGCUUAUGCUGAGUCUGUUUGCGCAGCGGAGGAACUGAAGUUUUAUCAAAACAACAUUGACCCGACAGAUAUGACCUCUCUAAAGAAGCCAACCAUCGAGCAUGACCUGGUAAUGAAGUUUAAGUCGGCUGCUGAAACUAAGCUUGUGGAUUUCAAUCCGGGUGAUUCAUCUAAGCAGUUCAACAUCAGUGCCAAUUUGGAUCCUAAAUAG
Molecule: ribosomal RNA, 582 nt
Filed under: Triticum aestivum (bread wheat)
Lineage: Eukaryota; Viridiplantae; Streptophyta; Magnoliopsida; Poales; Poaceae
Description: partial small subunit ribosomal RNA
Source: RNAcentral